GUAGUCCACGCCGUAAACGAUGGAUACUUGAUGUUAGAGGUAUUGACCCCUCUAGUGUCGAAGCUAACGCGUUAAGUAUCCCGCCUGGGGAGUACGGUCGCAAGAUUAAAACUCAAAGAAAUUGACGGGGGCCCGCACAAGCGGUGGAGUAUGUGGUUUAAUUCGAUGCAACGCGAAAAACCUUACCUGGGUUUGGAAUCUCCUGAACGCCUGAGAGAUCAGGAAGGCUCGAAAGAGACAGGAAGACAGGUGCUGCAUGGCUGUCGUCAGCUCGUGUCGUGAGAUGUUGGGUUAAGUCCCGCAACGAGCGCAACCCUUAUCCUUAGUUGCCAGCAUUCAGUUGGGCACUCUAAGGAGACUGCCAACGUUAAGUUGGA
This 377-nucleotide ribosomal RNA is filed under the name uncultured bacterium. RNAcentral's name for it is "bacterial SSU rRNA". It matches the Rfam family "Bacterial small subunit ribosomal RNA", at positions 790 to 1167 of the family's 1533-position model. The record is from RNAcentral.